RNAcentral lists this ribosomal RNA (273 nucleotides) under uncultured bacterium. Its description in RNAcentral is "partial 16S ribosomal RNA". It matches the Rfam family "Bacterial small subunit ribosomal RNA", at positions 523 to 796 of the family's 1533-position model. The record is from RNAcentral.
CUACGGAGGGUGCAAGCGUUAUUCGGAAUCACUGGGCGUAAAGGACGCGUAGGCGGGUUGGCAAGUCAGAUGUGAAAUCCUACAGCUUAACUGUAGAACUGCAUUUGAAACUGCUAACCUAGAGUAUGGGAGGGGGAGAUGGAAUUAGUGGUGUAGGGGUGAAAUCCGUAGAUAUCACUAGGAAUACCGAAAGCGAAGGCGAUCUCCUGGAACAUAACUGACGCUAAGGCGUGAAAGCGUGGGGAGCAAACAGGAUUAGAAACCCUGUAGUCC